CCAGCGGUGAUGAGCCUCUAACAUGUAAGAAGAAAUCCGUAGUUGGGUUCCUUCGAUGAAAUUUACUUGUUACGCUUGGCUUCUGAGCUUU
Molecule: small nucleolar RNA, 91 nt
Organism: Vigna angularis (adzuki bean)
Lineage: Eukaryota; Viridiplantae; Streptophyta; Magnoliopsida; Fabales; Fabaceae
Rfam family: Small nucleolar RNA R24
About the family: snoR24 is a C/D box small nucleolar RNA which acts as a methylation guide for 18S ribosomal RNA in plants.
Source: Rfam